UACCAGGUCUUGACAUCCUCUGACAAUCCUAGAGAUAGGACGUCCCCUUCGGGGGCAGAGUGACAGGUGGUGCAUGGUUGUCGUCAGCUCGUGUCGUGAGAUGUUGGGUUAAGUCCCGCAACGAGCGCAACCCUUGAUCUUAGUUGCCAGCAUUCAGUUGGGCACUCUAAGGUGACUGCCGGUGACAAACCGGAAGAAGGUGGGGAUGACUUCAAAUCAUCAUGCCCCUUAUGACCUGGGCUACACACGUGCUACAAUGGGCAAAACAAAGGGCAGCGAAACCGCGAAGUUAAGCCAAUCCCACAAAUCUGUUCUCAUUUCCGAUCCCAAUCUGCAACUCGACUGCUUGAAACUGGAAUCCCUAAUAAUCCCGAUCACAUCCCGGUGAAUACUUCCCCGGCCUUGUACACACCGCCCGUCACACCACGAGAGUUUGUAACACCCGAAGUCGGUGAGGUAACCUUUAUGGAGCCAGCCGCCGAAGGUGGGACAGAUGAUUGGGGUGAAUUCGUAACAAGGUA
Molecule: ribosomal RNA, 521 nt
Filed under: uncultured Bacillus sp.
Lineage: Bacteria; Bacillati; Bacillota; Bacilli; Caryophanales; Bacillaceae
Description: bacterial SSU rRNA
Rfam family: Bacterial small subunit ribosomal RNA
Source: RNAcentral